Molecule: ribosomal RNA, 253 nt
Filed under: uncultured bacterium
Lineage: Bacteria
Description: partial 16S ribosomal RNA
Rfam family: Bacterial small subunit ribosomal RNA
Source: RNAcentral
UACGGAGGAUGCAAGCGUUAUCCGGAAUGAUUGGGCGUAAAGCGUCCGCAGGUGGCUGUGUAAGUCUGCUGUUAAAGAGUGAGGCUCAACCUCAUAAAGGCAGUGGAAACUACAUGGCUAGAGUGCGUUCGGGGCAGAGGGAAUUCCUGGUGUAGCGGUGAAAUGCGUAGAUAUCAGGAAGAACACCGGUGGCGAAAGCGGCUCUCUGGGACGGUACUGACGCUGAGACGCGAAAGCGUGGGGAGCGAACAGG